UACGUAGGGUGCAAGGCGUUGUCCGGAAUUUAUUGGGCGUAAAAGAGCUCGUAGGCGGUCUGUCGCGUCUGCUGUGAAAACUCAGGGCUUAACCCUGAGCUUGCAGUGGGUACGGGCAGGCUAGAGUUCGGUAGGGGGAGACUGGAAUUCCUGGUGUAGCGGUGAAAUGCGCAGAUAUCAGGAGGAACACCGGUGGCGAAGGCGGGUCUCUGGGCCGUAACUGACGCUGAGGAGCGAAAGCAUGGGGAGCGAACAGG
Molecule: ribosomal RNA, 257 nt
Filed under: uncultured bacterium
Lineage: Bacteria
Description: partial 16S ribosomal RNA
Rfam family: Bacterial small subunit ribosomal RNA
Source: RNAcentral